Molecule: non-coding RNA, 22453 nt
Organism: Doryrhamphus excisus (bluestripe pipefish)
Lineage: Eukaryota; Metazoa; Chordata; Actinopteri; Syngnathiformes; Syngnathidae
Source: RefSeq, a predicted model, not a curated record
GAGUUGGACCGGAGGGAGAGACCGGGGAGGGAGUCCCGACGAGCAGCGAAGCAGCACGGGGUGUGACCGGCCAAACCAGGAUACUUUAUACUUCUUUUCUAAAAUACAUUUCCCGUAUAAAUGCUUAAAUGAAACCCAUGAAACGCUCGCAUGCGAAGUGUAGCCGCGGAGAACUUGGGCUCAAAGGCUGUCGUCGAAACCUCUGGAAUUGUCAGGAGAAAUUCCCUGACAGUUUAAGGUGUGGCUGUCCGCGUUGAAUAACCUUACCAAAAAAAAGUGUUGGUCGUGAGAGAAUACCCGUCAAGGGCUGGACCCCCCUUCUUGUGAGACCAGCAAACCUGCGUUUAGGCGUUCGAUCAUUUUCUUUUACCUCUUACAUAACAAAAUGCCACCUCGAACGCUGUGGCUUCCUUUCGGCUCCAACCGCGCCUCGCAUGCUAAUGAAAUAAAAACACCACAAUGUCGGAAUUGAAUGCUUUUGAGUGCUCCUUAUUGGCUUUAACAAGGCCUCCAGGAUGUAACGGACGUGGCAACUUUACAGUAGACAGCCGCCACAGGCCAACUGGGCGUGGGGAGGAACCGGCCCGAACACUCCUAAUAGUCCUAACAUGUCAUCUGCUGUCAUAGCGGCUAACUGUCUGGGUGGAAGCAGUGGAUUUACCUGAACUAAAUAUCUCCAGGUACCUCCUAUACGCUCAUCUGCACCACCGUAAGAGGAAGACCUACUUCCAGGAGUCUCCAGGGUGAUGGAUGUAAGAGACAAGUCGGCCUUCUGCUACCCCACGCCUUCCUCGGCAGGUUGCUCACCCUGCAGUCUGAUUCCAGCCUGGCCUAUUGGGAAUCAGUGGGAAUUGACCAAGAGCAGGACCGGAUCUACAAUACAACGACUAAAGAUUCGUGCAUCCUGUGUGGACCUAAUGAGCCAGUGGUGAGGAGCAGUGGGCCUCUCAACAGACAGGCUGGAAUGUGGACCAUAUGUAGCAGGCAUCCCAGGAAUGUAACUUGGCCUUGCUAAACUGACCAACCUAAAGAUCCUCAGAGCCAGGGCGGACGAGGAGGAGAAAAAGUUAUAGAGUGAAGGUAAUGUCCAAAAAAAGGUGUGUGAAAAUGGAUAACAGGGAUCAAGGACUGGAGAGAACUGGAUAUUUGUACCACAUCUAUUAUGACAAUAUGCUUCAGAAAAGUCAGAAUAAAACACUGUGUUUGUAGUUGUGUAGAACUGCACUAUAUUUGCCUUAUUUAAGAGGCACAUUAUUAGAGGACAUCUCAUUAUGAUGCAGUGCGCUUCUACACCACAAUAAUUAACAUAAUCUUUAAAGUAAUACGUCUUUGAUAGUGUCAGUCGUAACUAAUCAUAGUUAUCUUAGUUAAGGCAGAAUGUAUGAUCUUCUGGCUACCUCUGGUAUUGCAUCUCAUUAGUAUUGGUAUUGCAUCUCAAUGUGGCUGGUGACUGUAUUUUAGAGCUCCAUGAGCAUAUAGCAUGAUUUUGUUUAUUUAUGUUGAAGCCCUUAUUUAUCAUGUGGUCCCAGAGAUGCAUAAAUCAACAGAAAAUGAAUGAGUUGUGUUGGUCACACAAGUAAUCAAUGGCCAUUUUAUCCGUUGACCACUCGUAACUGUUUAUAUUCAUUUUUUUCCAAGUGUAUCCCAGAUGUACGUUGAAUUAACCAUAGUUUGUACAGAUGAAUAAAUAUUAACAGGCUCUCAAUAGUAUUAAAUUUCGGUUGCGCGGGGGGGGGGGGGUCAUAAUACUGUAAUGCAGGUGAAAUCAUCAAUCAUACCAUUUUAUCAUCAUCAUUACACAUAUCACAAAACUGGUUUAAAAGUGAAGCAAAAAUGUAAUUGUAGUCUAAAAGUGCUGCCAAAAAACAUAGAAAUAUGACAAAAUUUGUUCUAUAACUGCAAUGAUUGCUUCAAUGAGCAUCGUCUGCACUUUUUCAACACCGGGUAACAAAAUGUCUUACUGCAACAGGUGAAUCAAUACGUACCCAGUCACUCCUUAUACUUUAUCUUAAUAGCUGGUUGGAAUGUAGUAUAUCUUUAGCAAUGUAAAAGCAGCUGUAAGGUUAUGGGAUGUCCGAUCACAGUAUUUUUCCAGCUCACUACCUCACGAAAAGUGUCUUGUUCUCGUUAGCUUAGCACGCUGUGCUCUGAGGCUAUCUGGGUACAUCUGCAUCCAGCACGACAGGAAACUCAUUCGCACACACACACACACGCACACUUGCACGAAUGGUGACAUUUUUGUUUUCAUCCAACAUAACCCGGACUAUACUCCUUCCACAUGCAUGCAUACGCCCAGUCUACUGGAGAGUGAUGAUUCUCUAGAAUGGCAGCUGACCUCUACUCGGCAGCGAAUUUUUCUCCCCCCACAAUUUAUUCAAUGGAGACACACUGUCAUCAGCUUAUCAUUUCAUCAAGGCGUGCAGUUCUUAAUCCUUUUCAGUCAAAUGAGGAAUUAAUAAAUGCAAUUAGUAAAUUGACAAUGUCCAGUCCGAUGUCAUUUUAGCACUCUUAGGGUUUGGCAUGUGCAGCUGUUUGUUUCUAUGACUGACUGCUUGAAUCCAGAAGUUGUUGUUAAUUUGAGGUGAAGUUGCGUACUUGUAUUUGUGUAUAAUUGCGUACUUGUGUACAAUUAUGUAUUAUGAACAUCUGUGGAUUCAGAUGGGACUAUAUUCCAUGUACAAGCUAGUUUGGUCUUUUGUGUGCGUGUGUGUCUGUGUUUAGAUGCAUUUGAUUGGAAAUCUUCCAGAGUGCACAGGGCCAACUUCCUUUCUUUCUCUUGUUUUUCCGUGCGCUUCACAGGAUAUUGCAUGUGAGUUAUUGUUGCGUUUGUGCUUUUGUCUGUUUUUGUUCUUCGUAGAUUUGUACAUUUGUCUUCCCUGCUAUCCUUAAUCAAAGCUACUGUAGUUCUUCAGCAGCGUGACAUUUCCUUUUGAAGAGUGGUUUGAAACAGUAUCUCCAUGUUCAAAUGUGACACUUGGAGUGCCGGAUAACUGUGAAUUCUGAAAUCUAACCCUCGUGUCAGUAUGGUGGUGGAGGGUAGAUGCUUCAAGGCAAAGGAUGAAACUCAAGAGAUUUACUUAGCAUAGGCAACUGCAUCAUUAUCUUGGUCUGUAGACAUUUCCUGUCCUUCGGUUAAUAACUGGACUACUUAUUGCUCAGGGGUUAGGGUGACCAGAAAGAAGAGGAUGGACUCAUGGUGACAUCAGGGCUUUUUUUCCUCGAGCAAAGGUUGGCCGCAAACAUGUAUUAAAUACAACAAUGCAGUUUGACACACUUCUUUCUGAUGGAUGGAGGCGCUUACAUUCUUUAUGUUAACAUCCUGACUUUUAAGUCUCUGUUGGAUGCAAGUUCCCUUUCUCAUGUCAGAUUUUCCUAAAGAAUGCUCAGUACGUGUGUGUGUGUGUGUAAGAAAUGUGUCCGUCAGAACAGCUCGCAGCAGAUGCAGACGCGUACAUAGCCAGACUCCUAGUCAUGCCACAUCAUAGUCUCAUCACAGUGUGGUGGAUACACCGCCACCACCACCAUGUUGUGUGCUUCUCACUUCAUGACAUCACCCAUCCAGACACCAACCUGCCUCGGUAUACACACACACACACACUUAACACACAUCAAUGUACCACAAUGCCUUCCUGGUUCCAGAUGCGGCGUGUAAAAAGAAUCCUGUUCGACACGCUGUAAGACUCAUUUCCUUUUUCCCCACCUGCUGACUUCCUGCCAGCCCUCGUCACCGCUUCCUUUAACUAAUUCCACACUGCACUUGAAAGAAAUAAAAAUUAACAGCAAAAUGGCUCCAACAUUUACACGUGUUAGUAAGUUGAUGAAGUAUGUCAGGUUGGUGAAUGGGGUUAUUUGUGUGAGAAGGCAUGUUUGGCUUGUUGUUCUGUACAACAUCCCUAUAAUUAUCAUACAUUUUCUCUGUUACUUUCAUUGUAUUUUACUUUUAGCGUCUCUCUGUACCCGUGUUGCAUGUUAUUAACCCGCUGUGACAAUUUAAUUUCUCUGCUGGGAAUGAAUCUUAUCAAGGGAGCAAAUGUACUCCAUUGGCUUGUCCUGAAGCAGUUUUUUUGGUUUGUUUUUUUAAAUUGUUCAGUCAUUUGUUGGCACAAGCAAGACUAUACACUAUGAAGAUGUUGCAUAUGCCCUUCCAUACUCCGAAAAUCAGACUUUAUCGUUGGUUGUAUGUAUUUUUGCUUAUCAUUAUUGUUAAACUUUCCCCUUUAUUAUUAAUUUAUGACUAAAUUAAUAUGCAGAUUUAAACCUUAGCCAUCGUGAGUGGACAACACUGAAGCUUAAAUUCAACCCUUUCUCGACAUAAUCUCUAGUAGGGGGGUCUCCCAACUUUCAUCACCAUUAGACCCUACUUUGACAGUAAGAAAGAACAUAUACCUGGCAACAUUUAAAUUCUACUUUAUUUAUGACGCAGGUCCAAUCAACAGUGUGGUCAUUGCCUUUAUGCUAUUUUGUGAUAAUUUGUCCUUAAAUACGUAGAUGCAUAAUGUCUGAAUUGAUCAGUUAUAAAAUGUUGGAGCUACAGAUUGGAGAGCCCUGUUCUAGUGUCAAUUCUUCUCAAAGUCCUUGAGCCAGUUGCGUAUUUUGGAAGCUAAAAGAAACCGUAAAAUGCGUACAGUUACUUAAUCCUUUGAUGCUCUUUGAGCUGAGCUGUCUCAUGAUAUGCUGGCGUCUUGUGCGGUUGUGGAAUAGGGUUGCCCGUUACGUCAAUCACCGCUAUGAAGGUCGUGCGCGUCAAUUACAUGUGUCACCCCUGUCAGAAGCAUGAUUUUGUAGAUGUCGUGACAUCCGUCAGCAGUCGUCAGCUGUUGCACCUCUGCAGCAACGUAAAUGGUGAACAUGCAACUUUAAUCUUUAUUUUUCCGAUCACGGAUAAACUAACUCAGCAGUAAAAUGCCUUUUGUCGAAAACAAAAGUUAUCCAUCCGUUUGUAGCAGCUAGUUAUGUAAAAAAAAAAAAAGGCAGUUAUUUGAUGGCAUUGCUUUGCGUCCUUAACACAAAAGGGGGAAAAGUUAGGACAAUUCCAAGGACUGCCAGGGGGCCCAAAAAUAGGUCAUUAUUAAAAUGUAGAAAGGAGUGGGCUCUGUUUUUCAUGGGGACAAUAAUUCCUUACUGUACCCCUGCUAUUGGUGAUAUGAUCUGAAAAAGGAACCCUAAAGUCACCCCUUUUUUUUACCUUUUCAAUAGAACACUUGCUUCACUUGUAAAACUUAACAACGGAUGAGACGCCUUCUUUAAGGAGACUUCCACUAGUGGUAAAUUUCCAUUUAGCACGAAGGUGGGCUGGUUAGCUAACCAUUGAGAAAGGCCGGUCAUCUAGUCCUAUUAAGUAAAUUAUUUUUCGGGUUAUUUGCAUAGCUGAUAUAGAAGUAUAUUUUACCUUGCGUUUUGCUCAAAUUUUGUCAUGUAUGACCUCAAGAUGAAGUGGGUCUCUGAGGUUCCACUGUACAGUACAUAGAAAAACAAAUGCACACAGACAUUGAUUGCAUCCAGCGGUGUGCCUGUAAAUUGUGCAUGUAGUUUAAAAGACGUUCUAUAUAUUGUUCUACUAUGCCUGUGUAAUUUGUGUACCGAGGCUUUCCUGAGUGAAAACACAUUUCACCAGAACUCAUAAGCCCGCAGGAAGCCUUUUUAUAGGUGGAGCUCCGAGAUGGCAUUUUUUUGGAAUGAUUCAUCCCGCGCCCAUUCUUUUUGGCCAUGUCAUUCUGUGAACUGACACCAACAUUUUAGAGGUAGUCAUCCCUUUAAUAUCGGGCUUCUUUUUACAGAAAGAGUGGAUUACUGUGUCCUGACUCAGUGUUUGAUACUGCCUGUUCCAAAUUGGAGUGUUAGCCUUUUAAAACAUUUGCAAUGACUUUGCAGUUUGUUCUAUAGAUUCUAAUCAAAGCUGGCCAUAAUUGUCGUGGGAAUCAUCAGCGUUGUGUAAUAAAUGACUCCUGGUACAUCAUGUUCUCGGCUGUGGGAUGGACGCGGUGUGCAUGUUGUGUCCAUGCUGUCUGCAUGCGUCACAUGAGCAGAGAGAGAACAUAGCUAAGGAAUAAUAGGGGUGGAAACUACUUUUACAAGCAGCAGUUCUGUCACAACAAGCUGUUGAAUAUGCCCAGGCCUUACUUCUUUUCCAUUGCUGUGUGGAACAAAUGUACAGUGUUUAUACUCAACAAAAAUAUAAAGACACUUGGGCGUGACACGAUCUCAUAUUGAUAUCGGUACGAUAUCAGCAAAAACUGAUUAUAUUGGCAUGCAUCUAAAACAGGGGUCUCAAACUCAAUUUACCUGGGGGCCACUGGAGCUAGGGUCUGGGCGAGGCUGGGCCGCAUCAGGUUUCCCCCCCCAAAAAAAACGCAUUUAUUAAAAACAUAAAAAUUAAUAAACUUUGCUUUGGUUACAAUUUUCUAGAAGAAAAGCUCUGAUAAAACAUUCCACUGUUCUCAAAUAUCUUCAUUUUUAUUUUUCUACACAAAAUAAGAUCAAGAAUAAAGAAAAUCAAUCAAUCACUAAUAAUUAAAUAUAAUAAUAAAACAGCAAAUAAUUAAAAAUUAAGAAACCACAUAUAGUUGGUGGGUAGACAAAAUAUUUUUUUCAGAUUAAAAUGAACAAAGCAUUAUUAGAGCCCUGUAGACAUGACAAAACACGACUAUAGUCACAUUAAUACUCUUUUUAUUUACAACAUAUUGCGCAACUGCAGGGUCUUGAGACACAUGCUAACUCGCAAAUUAGAGAGCUAGCGACCUAAACGGUAGCCUGCAAGUUAUUUCCUUUAAACUUAAAAAGCCAAAAACUUACCACUUCCACACGGAUAGGGAGGAUAACUAUUAAGAGUUAUUUAACAUUUAACAUUAAUCAAACGUAAUAAUUUUUUCUGGGUACAUGAUACCAUACAGCAUCCAUAUCAAACUUGCACGGGCCGCACUAACAUUAAACUUUCAUAUCAAGGCGGGGGCCUCAAACUAGUGUCCUGCGGGCCACAUUUGGCCCGCGGGCCGCGUGUUUGAGACCCCUGAUCCAAAAUCUCCCACAUUGACACUCUUGAUACAAGCAGUCGAUUCCAGACUCAGAACAACAGCAUUAUACAGCCUAAUUAUUGCCUUGGGUUGGCCACAACAAAAGGCCGCUCCAAAAAUGUAAUGUGUCCAUAAGUUUCCGUUGUCCAUAUGCCACUCAAUCUGCAACACAGGUACAUUUUAUUGAUGAUUGAUUUAUAAAUGCAGUGACAAGAUCCUGAUACACAUUGUUGUGCCAUUCAGCCAUGAGCAUCACAUCGUGUUGCGGCAUGAUUGCAAGGAUCUGUACACAACUCCUGGAAGCUAGCAACACCCCAUACUCUCCUGAUAUGUCACCCAUUCACCAUGUUUGGGUUGCUCUGGAUCAGUGAAUACGGUAUUUGAGGCAAAUGGGGGUCACAAUGGGGAUACUGACUGGUUUUCCGACCCCCCAAUACCGUUAAAGUACACAUUUUGGAGUGGCCACAGAUUUUUGAAAAGUAUUCCAUAGAAGUUGCCUUUUGUGUCCCCAGAAAAAUAACAUUCAUGAUUUAAUAAAUUAUUAUUAAUACAUUAUUUCAGAUUGUUCUUUUUUUAUUGUGAUGUUUGAUUCUUUUAUUCUAUUAACAAUAUUUCUUGGCUCUAAAUGACACUACAGCAGCUGUGUUCUGUAUGAGUGAUUGUAUAUUAAGUAAGGGAGUAAUUAUGAUUAUCACAUCCAUCUCUUAAAUUGGUCCCCAAGAGAGGAACACUAUCGGUUGUCUUGUUGUGUUGGAUUACUGUCAAUUUAGCAUGCCAUGUUAUUUGCUAAUGCAGCCAUGUCAUUCAAGUCAUGUGUGUGCAACAGCUUUUUCUUGUUUGUUAUAUAUGGACUAGAAUAUUUCAUGUUGCCGUAAUGUCUUCUCGCAUUUAAGUAAUGCUAAUCUGCGACUAGACUCAUCUCUUCCGUUUUCAAUAGAUAAUUCUGCCUAGAACACCGACAUGUCAGUUUCAAUACAGUCACACUGGAGGAAAAUUGUUUCCCCAGGGGUAACAAUGACCAGUGGAUGCUUCCUGAUAAGUGGACACAAAUACAGCUUUGAUGACAAGAUGGCUUUGGACAAUAUCACAUCUCUAUUGUCUCACAAGUUUGAAUAAGCAACUCUGAGGUUUAAGUGGACCACUCGACACCACCGAAAGGGGAUGUCUAUGUGUAUUUACUUGCAGUUUGAACUGCUGCGCAGAGCAGCGUGAGGUUUGUUGAGUUUCCAGGGGUUGCUGGGUUCACAUGGCUGUGUGCUAGUUUUGCCCGAAGGCCUGUCCUUGAACUGUGGAAGAAUAAGCCGUGAGCGAAGGUCCUUUCAGACUGACUGACUGCAAUUGCUGAAGCUAGGCCAGCUGACUGAGGGCCAGGCAAGACAAAUCCGGCGCUCCUCACAAGUAUUACACAGUGGCCAGAUGAAAGUGACGCAUCACAGAACAGGUUGCUCUCUCAUUUGAAUCGCAUCAUGCUAUUUUCUAGAAAAGAUGGCAGACACGUUGUAUUUUGGGCUCUAUUUUUGGAGCAUUGGUAUUAAAAAAAACAUCAAUACCAUAUUCCCUUCAGGCAUCCGUGUAUGAAUGCUGCAAAGUGACCUAAGUCAUUACCAAGAAACUAAACUAGUAUGGUUGUCCAUGUUUUUCACCUCCUGAAUGAGUUGCUCAUUGGCUGACCUACAGCAGUUCUUCACUGGCAAGCUUUAUGUGCUCAUGUACCAACUAAAGCUGCCAGCUGAAGAACUGUUGUGGUCGGCCCUUUUCUACACUGAAGGCCGCUUCUUCUAUUGCCAGGACUGGAGUGAGGAUACUGACUGAAAGGAAUCCAUCCAUCCAUUUUCUAACGUUUCUUCUGUUCAGGGUCACUGCGUUGGAUUCUAUCCCAGCUGACCUAGACCGAGAGGCGGGGUACACCCCGCAAAGUCAAUGACUAGUCAAGAAUGAAAUGAAUUAGAUAAAAAGUGGACUUUCAUGUCAACAAUGUUUCUUCUGCAGCAUGUUCAUGUGAUGAUAUAGAAAUGUACCAUGACAUGUGCUGUUGUAUGGAACAAGACCAUUGCAUCGAAGAACACCCAUCAUCAUACGUCAGGAGUAAAUAAGCAAAAGGACUAAAGCUGUCUCCUUUCAAAGUAAUGAAACAAGAAGAUAAAAAAAAAUACUGUAUAUCUCGUCAAAUUUGAGAUACUGUAUAUCUCGGAAUUGAAACGUCCUGGCCUAGAUGAAUGUACACAUUUUGUACAACUAUAAGGUAAUGGUAAUGGUUUUAUUUCAUUUGAACAUGCAUCAGAUUACAAUUGAGUGCAUCCCAUAAUCAGUUCACAGUUCCACAUGUCCAAAAGAAGUAGGAAGAAGCAAAGCUUAUUAAAUCCUACCCCUCCAUCUGGUACUUUUACAAUCAAUAACUGUUACAUUUGUUCACUUCCUGCUUUCCACAAUGCAGUUUAAGUUUUUUUUAAUUGUUUUUUUUUUUUUUUUUUAAUAAUGCACCUCGUACCGAAGUACGAGGUGAUAUGACCAUACAAUGACAUAAUGGUUACCAUAGUAAGUGUCAAUAUAGUGAUAUAUAUAGCACAUCAUGAUUGGUUCAAGACUCUUCAUCCUUGUAUUUAGCAAACAUCAACUGCUUGUAUUGUUUCUUGAAUUGGCUCAUCGUUGUGCAUUGUUUCUGGUCCUUACUCAAUCCUUUCUAUAGUUUGAUUCCACAUACUGAAAUGCUAUGGCUUUCAGUUACUAAAAUCAAUACGGCUUUCUUGUGAAUCGACGGGUGCACGGUAUUGAGUAGUUCUGAGCUGCUUUUCAAGGUGUGGGCGAUAGAUAAGCAAUAAGCCUACGACUGCUCCGGAGCAUUUUUACAUAGAAUGUCUUUGUUUUUGUUAUAAAUAACCCAUUUUGAUACAAAAUCGACCUAAUUUCUGUUACGAAAGAAUUGAUAGUAAUGUGUGUAUUUAACAGAAAACCUAUACUUGCAUAUAGAUACAUAUUUAUAAAGUCACCCACUUCAGUGGCACAAUCCAAAGGAGCCAAGGUGAGCACAAGCUCGAUCAACAUCGACAGACUCAUAAUCGGCUACCAAAAAAUAGCCAAAAUGUGAGCGUAUUUUCAAAAGGUUAAAGAUAAACCAAGGAAAGUAAAGUGCAACUUCUGUCAGCAGCUUCUUGCAUGUCACAUGACAACAACCAGCAGCGUAUUGUUUAAAACCGGUAACACCGUUACGCUAACUUCAUUUUAUAUCCCCAAAAAUUAGGCUGCUAGCUGAGAGUUUUGGAAAGUUGUUUUUCAAGCCAAGUUGUUUCCAUUUUAUGUGCUCUUUGCUGAUGUGUGAUCUGCCCACUUGGACUCGAAGACAGACCUGUAAAUCCGUUGGACUGUAAUUUCGGUUUUAUUCAUCUUGCUUUCUGUCACUAAAUAAAUUAAGGUACUGUUGUUGCACACCUAAACAAGUUUAAGUGAGUGUCAGUAUUUUUUUUCAUGUGGAAAUAGUCGCAAAUGAGAACUGUUUAAUUAUAGGGCUUGCCAUUAGCUGUGCAACAAAAAAAAUAAUCUAUGGACUAUGGACAAAAUAUUAACAAAUCAAAUUCAGUUAUGAAAAUCCUUCUUAAAAGACAGCCCUAAAGAUGACAGUUUUAAGAUUCAUCCCAGUGUCAAUUGGUUUAUUUAUUGGCCUGCGGACGCUGCAACCAUCCAGACAAUGCUUGUAAUAACUUGGUUGACAAAUACACGGACUGCUGUUGUGUGCCAUCAUCGGUAUGCUUGUGCGUGUGUCGAGGCUGAUCCCAAUUCUCCGACCCAGACUGUCUUGCAGAGUAGCCUAACUAUAAACACGCACAGACAGGAAUUUUACUUGUGACCCUCAGCACUCAUAAACGGAACUUCAAUAGAGAGGCCAAUGGCCAGACCAGCAUAUGAGAGUGAGCAUGUCCCUUUAAAAGCUGCCAGCCAGAGUCCAACACAGGGAAGGAAUGUUCCGGGGCCUUAACAAAACCAGAUGCCCCAUCUUACGCUCCCCUCUCAACACAUGGUCUGAGUUGUUUUCUCAGAACCCGGCUCUAACUUAGAACCGCAUAUUGAAUCUUAAACUGAGCAAGCAUUCCUCCUCCGGUCUUCUGUGCAGCAUCUUUUAGUGUCUUCCAUCUCUUGUCCGCUCCUCUUUACCUUUGUCCUUAUGCUAGGAAGGCUUUUUCUCACCGCUCACCUUUACGCUCACACACAGGAAACACCUAAAUAGGAUUAUUGCACUCUCUUUCCCCAGCACAUCCUCUUCGUUUAGCACUGCCAGUACCUCGCAUUAGCGCACCACAACGGUGCAUAUAAAGGUUGGGCCUUGACCUCCGAUGUUGUGUAGGUUUCAGCUCAGCGACUCGUCUGCCUGAUCCGAACCCAGGGAAUUGGCCCCUGAGGGGAAUUAAGAGAUUGAACCGGUACGUUUAGCUUGAAGGAGAAGGCGCUUGAAGGAAAGGUUCAACCCUGAUUUGUCUCGCGGGUGACAGUUUCUGCAAUCGGCAGAGAGCGCUCAGACAAGAACAUGGCAGUGGGAAUGCCAUCAAUAAAAUGUUUGUCCUUAAAAUACACCUGCCCAUAUCAUAACCCCAUCGCCACCAUGGGCCACUCCAUCUGUAACACAGGAAGACGGCAGUUUGGGAUUCUCUGGAUCGGUCAUACGUUAGGUUGUCACACCCGAUACUGUUUGUUUGUGAGACGCCCCUGACCCCCAAAUAAAGUUAAACUGCAUAUUGUGGGCAGCCUAAAGCACACCAUGCUGUCUCAGUAGCAUCUUGAUUUUAGACAUUUAGACGUUUUAUGUAAAAACUUACCACUUCCACACUGAAUGAGAGGAAACCGUUUUUUCCAGUUGGGUUUUCCGGUUGGGUUUUUGCUAAUUUGUCUUAGCUGAACCCACUUUAGAGAUCAAAAAAAGGCUGCAGGCUUGUGAGCUAGGUUCAGGUGACAGUCAAAGGUUGGAUGUAGGCAGGAUAGGGUUGCUGCCGCUCUUUGGAAAAUAUAGAAGCACAGCAUGUAAAGUCAUCAGGCUGUCUUUGACUUUGCCGUAUAGCUGUCUGUUGACCCUUCCGGUUGUCACAGCGAGUUCCCCACAGUGUCGCCGAUGCAUUCUCAACCCGAGGGUCCACUUUGGGGUGGGUCACGGAGAGGAAGUCUAAAAUGAUUGAAUGCUUGUGUCAUUGCGGGUGGGUCUGAAUGCGGGGUUUGUGGCCUUUUAGUCCGCAUUUGUGGGCUACAUGACGUCUCGCAGGCUGUUUAAGAACACAAGUAGGAAAGUAUAGCUCUAAAGAUAAUCACAAUAAGGAUGGAUUUCCAGAAUAGACAGACAUGUAGCAUUGACAAAUAUUCUCCUCACGUGGCUUCCUGCACCUCAUAUCUGUUAUCAUUAUUUAAGCUGCCCUCUAGCUUCAUACGGUGCAGGAUGCUACAUUGCACAUGUGAUAAAUAUACAAAAUCUUGGAAAUACUAUAAAAGUAUAGCCUAGGUGAAGAGGAAGGAACCUAUGGCUUGGGAGCCGAUAAAAUGUUUUUAUUUUACAUAUUCUUUUGCUGGGCGGCACAGCGGUUGAGUGGUUAGCGUGGAGACCUCACAGCUAGGAGACCAGGGUUCAAUUCCACCCUCGGCCAUCUCUGUGUGGAGUUUGCAUGUUCCGGUUUCCUAGGUGCUGCUAGGUGAACUGGCGACUCCACAUUGUCCAUAGGUAUGAAUGUGAGUGUGAAUGGUUGUUUGACUAUAUGUGCCCUGUGAUUGGCUGGCGACCAGUCCAGGGUGUACCCCGCCUCUCGCUCAAAGGCAGCUGGGAUAGGCUCCAGCACCCCCGCGACCCUCAUGAGGAAAAGCGGUAGAAAAUGAAUGAAUGAAUAUUCUUUUGCUGACAUUUUAAAAUAAAACAUCACACAAAUAAAAAAAAAAAAUCAUAAAAUUCAGGAUAUAAAACUUUAUGUAUUUUAGAUGCCGAUGCCAGCUGUCCUUCACAUAUUUUCCAGGUCAGACACCAUAACUUGAUUAUUUGUGGACAGUGCGGUUACCUACCCGGGUCACUGAGAGGUCAAGAAGUAAACUCAAAUAGUCAACAAGCUAAUUCUGCAGAACCAACCCUUUUGACGAAGAAGAUGAUGAAAAGAAAGAAAGUAUGGAGUCCAGUGCAAAGCUGGAAGUCGCAUUCAUGGUGUCAUCUGGUCGUGACGUCAGGGCAAACAUGAGAACACGUCACACAAGCGAUGAGACUAAAGAAGGUUAGACCGUCUAACUUCACAAGGCUGGUCGCGUCUGGCCUUUGUUGGCUGCAGACCGUAAAAUUGGACACAGCUGACAUAUAUAUAUAUAUAUAUAUAUAUAUAUAUAUAAUUCAAAAAAAGAUGGCAUGAGUGGCAUUGAAUUGAGGCCAUGUGUACUGUAUGCACUCCUUGUACGAACUACACUAUGUCUAUUGAUUGGCACAACGCGUGCACAUUUUUUUUUAAUGGCCAAUUUUGCUUUUCACGGAGGAGUCCUUUUAAUGUGGUGUCUACUGUAAAGUCCUUUAGUCAAAGCAGUGAGACACUCCAAGGCCGGUCCCCGAAGAGGUUUACAAACCUCUCCUAAAUUCUUCCCUGAGGGUGAAAUCAUGUGAAAGCUGCUUAGGCAGAUUAUCCCUGCCUCGACGGCAGCUGGCAAUGAGAUCCUUGGGAGUGCACCUGACUCAAUACUGGUUGUGACGCAAUUGCCGCCUGUGUCCCAGCGUGCAGCCACAAUCCACUGUGACCUUUGCCCCCGGAGUGAAAUAUGCAUCUUGUACCAUGAACCUGACUGGAAGACACACAUUGCACUCAAGCCCAAAAGGUGGGAACACCCUGCACUUCUAUGAUAGUUUGAUAAUAUUGUUAAUUGAUUAUUAUAUAUAAUAUGGUAGUUCUUUAACUGAGUCCGCCUUUCAAAGCCAAUCGCAUCAAGAGUGAUGUCAAAAAUGCUAAUUUUUUACCAAUUUGUUUUCCUUAAGUCAGGGGUCUCAAACUAAAUUUACUUGGUGGCCAUUGGAGCUCAAGUCUGGGUGAGACUGGGCCACAUCAGGUUUAAAAAAAAAAGAAAAAAUGCAUUUAUUAAAAACAGAAAAAUUUAAAAAACUUCGCCUUAGUUCCAAUUUUCUACAAGAAAAGCUCUGAUAAAUCAUUCCACUGUUCUCAAAUAUCUUAAUUUUUAUUUAACAAAUAAAACAAAUCAUGAAUAAAGAAAAUCAAUCAAUCAGUAAUAAAUAAAUAAAUAUAAUAAUAAUAAAACGGCAAAUAAUAAAAACUUAAGAAAGCACAUAUAGUUGGUGGGCAGACAAAUUAUUUUUUUCAGAUUAUAAUGAACAAAGCAUUAUUAGAGCCCUGUAGACAUGACAAAACACGACUAUAGUCACAUUUAUACUCUUUUUAUUUACAACAUAUUGCGCAACUGCAGGGUCUUGAGACACAUGCUAACUCGUAAACUAGAGAGCUAGCGACCUAAACGGUAGCCUUCAAGUUAUUUCCUUUAAACUUAAAUAGCCAAAAACUUACCACUUCCACACGGAUAGGGAGGAUAACUAUUAACAGUUAUUUAACCUUUAACAUGAACAUUAAUCAAACGUAAUAAUUUUUUCUGGGUACAUGAUACCAUACGGCAUCCAUAUCAAACUUGCGCGGGCCGCACUAACAUUAAACUUUCAUAUCAAGGCGGGGGCCUCAAACUAGUGUCCUGCGGGCCACACGCAUGUUUGAGACCCCUGUCCAUUCACACGCAGAUGUAAUGCAAAUGUCAACAUGCAGUGGUUUCACCUAUCCACUGCGGCACCGUGCAGCAUGCAGCCUGCAUGCUGUCUUAAAGAAGCUCCUAUUCGUGAUGUGUUUUACACAGAGCAGCUGGUACUCGGCCAGUACAGAGCUCCUAAAAUAGAUGCUGGUUCCAGUUGGGUGGGCUGAGAGGUGAAGGAGAAAGAAAAGUGCAAGGAAGAUAUACAAGACUCGAACAAAAAGAGGGGAAGCUAUUUAUUGCAAAGCGUAGCUGCACAAAAUGUCCAUCCGUGAUCCUCUGGGCCUACAAGGCCAGUGCUCCUCACAGAAGGACUCUUAUGUAAUUGAUUGGAAAGUGUGAGUCGUAGUGGCAAGGCACAUCCAGUGUGUAAAAACAGUACUACACAGUUGAGGCCAGAGGAUGGAAGGACGCACACACGCACACACACACAGUGACCACAGAGGUGAAUUCAUCCUAUGUUGAAAUCAUAAAAGCAAACACGCAUGUGUGCUGACACGGGAAGGAGAGCCGACGUUGACCAUUCCGAGUUAAAAAUAAGUGGACCUGCACCUUGUAAGAUGGUUUUGUCUGGACUGAGGGUGCUCAGAGUUGGAUGAAACCUGACAACUUAAUCCCUAGUAGGAGAGGGAAGCAGGGACCAAAUAGACCAAAUGAUGACACUUGGGUUGAUUAAAAAGCACUUCCAGACAGGUUCCUAAUAAUUAUAUUAUAAUUAUAUUCAUUAUAUAAUAUAUAUGUAUAUUAUAGGCUGCACGGUGGUCGACUGGUUUGCGCGCAGCGAGGAGACCCGAGUUAAAUUCCACCUUCGGGCAUCUGUGUGGAGUUUGCAUGUUCUUCUCUGCAUGUUUUUCUCAUAUGUGUGUGCAUGUAUGUAUGCAUGUGUGUAUAUAUGGAUGUGUAUGUAUGUAUGUAUGUAUGUAUGUAUAUAAGAAUGUGUAUAAGUAUGUGUAUAUGUAUGGAUGUAUGUAUACUUGUCGAUGUAUGUAUGUAUUUAUGUAUGGUUAGAAGUAUGUGUGUAUGUAUGUAUGUAUAUAAGAAUGUGUAUAAGUAUGUGUAUAUGUAUGGAUGUAUGUAGAGAUAGAUAGACUCCCUUUAUUGUCAUUGCACAAAAACACAGUAGUGAAAUUGCCAACGAAAUGUCGUUGCCUGGCUCCCAUAUAAUAACAGACACAAAAGAAGAUAAGUGAUAAUAAAUAAUAAUAAUAAUAAUAAUAAUAAUAAUAAUAAUAAUGUGGAGAAUAAAUAGAAUAGACACCAAAUAUGAACAACAUAAUGUAAUGUGCAGCGUGAACAGUAAAUUGCCCAAAUAAUUUAAAUAAUUUAAAUAAAUAAUAAUAAUGUAAGUAAAGGUAGAGGGGCUUAUUUGGCAUUGAGCAGUCUGAUGGCCAGGGGGAAGUAGCUGUCUCUAAACCUGGUCGUCCUACAGCGGAUGCUGCAGAGCCUUCUCCCCGAUGCCAGGCGAGAGAACAGUCCAUGCUGGGGGUGUGUGGGGUCAGAGCAGAUCCGAUGGGCUCUAGAUACACACCGGCUGUUUGCUAUGUCCUUAAUGUAUGUAUUUAUGUAUGGUUAGAAAUAUGUGUGUAUGUAUAUGUAUAUAUGUUUGUCGUAUGUACUAUGUAUGUAUGUAUGUAUGUGUGCAUGUAUGAUUACAUACAUGAAUGUGUGCAUGUAUGAUUACAUACAUGAAUGUGUGCAUGUAUGAUUACAUACAUGAAUGUGUGCAUGUAUGAUUACAUACAUGAAUGUGUGCAUGUAUGAUUACAUACAUGAAUGUGUGCAUGUAUGAUUACAUACAUGAAUGUGUGCAUGUAUGAUUACAUACAUGAAUGUAUGUAUGUAUGUAUGUAUGUAUGCAUGGUUAUAAGUAAGUAUGCAUGUAUGCAUGUUAUAAGUAAGUAUGUAUGUAUGCAUGGUUAUAAGUAAGUAUGUAUGUAUGUGUAUGCAUGGUUAUAAGUAUGUAUAGAUGUAUGUAUGUGUAUAUUUAGUUUGUAUGUUUUCAUGUUGGUGUAUGUAUGUGUAUGUAUGUGUAUGUGCCUGCAUACAUACUUAUGUAUGUAUGUAUGUAUGUAUGUAUAUGCAGGCAUAUAUGUGUAUAUGCAUGCAUGUAUGUAUUUAUGUAUGUAUACUUGUCGUGUAUGCAUGUAUGUAUGGUUAGAAGUAUGUAUGUGUAUAUGUAUGUAUGUGUGCAUGUAUGAUUACAUACAUGAAUGUAUGCAUAUAUGUAUGGAUGUAUGUAUGUAUACUUGUCGGUGUAUGUAUGUGUAUGGUUAGAAGUAUAUGUGUAUAUUUGUAUGUGUGCAUGUAUGAUUACAUACAUGUAUGUAUGUAUGUGUAUAUGUAUGUAUGUAUGAAUGUAUACAUGUUGGUGUAUGUGUUUUUGUGUAUAAGUAUGUAUGUAUGUGUGCCCAGUGAAUGAGCCGAUGCACUCGAUUAAUAUCGAUUAUGUUCCACACCCUUAGAAUGUAUGGAUGUGUGUGUGUGUGUGUGUAUAUAUGUGUGUAUGUGAACAACAAUGGCUUUGUCGGACUUCAGGAGGUUUGCAACCAGCUGCUUAUAAGUAUCUGCAGACAUUUUUUCCACUUAAUUCUAAGAGACAUUUUCUGUAAAAUUUCUAGACAUUAAAAUGAAUGUAUCGGAAUGUGCAGAGCGCAUUUCAGAUAGAACUGGUUGCUUGUAGACACACUGUACCUUCUGAUAAACUACAGUAUUUUUUCUGGAGGGGGCACAGAUAGAUAUAUAAGAUAGAUAGAUAGAUUCCCCCAGAUCAUCUCUCCUGGGAGUGUUUGCAGAGACGUCUACUUGGUUUAUGGUCAGCGGUGCAGCAAAUACCAGUGGACUGAGACACUGUGAGGCUGAAGUCGAUGCAUUGCUCACAUAGCUGGGCUUCUUUCCAAGCAGUACGGCUUAUUUGGCUUUAAAAAGAAGCGAGGAGCAAGACUUUGUCAUUUGACAAAAAUGCAUGGGUGCAAUCAACUGGUUGCACGUUAUGGAAAAUGAUUUUUUUUUUAAUCUUUGCAGUCAAUAAUGGCCAACCAUUCCGUUCUAGGUUGAACUUCUGCAGAUUAUUUUGGCGUUAUCCAUGUGUUUCCUAACAGUCAGAUGAUUUGUCUUUAAGGCGCGACCAGGUUAAGUCUAGUGAGGUCAGACAGGAUGGCCACUGAACAACACCCAUUUAAUCUCUUGACCUAGUCCAGACAAACAGGAUUAGACCAGCUUGUGGGGGGGAUAUACUCACCUUGUGUUGGCCCGCACUUCAGUCACAUUCAAUUUCCCACUUCCCCUCUCUCUUACCCCUCAUCAGCCCUUCACAAAAGGUCAGUAGGCCCUCGUCACAUAGCUCAUCUCGGAGCCGGACUAUUUAGGCCGAUGGAGCCAUGCGCGGACGCACGGGCGCAGGGCGGUGUGGUCACAUGACCCCAGAACAUAAAGUGCAAUGAGAUGGCGAGAGGUGAUAAAACAUUACACCAAGCAAUAAAUAUGCAUGAGUGGGCAACAGUGAGGAUCAGCGGUGACUCUGCAUUUGGGACCAGGGAGGCAGUGGCCAUACGUACUAGAAUACUUCAAUAUGAAAUCACUCCACACUCUUUAUUGCUCUCUGGUUCUACCAUAUCUUACUUAUUGUGUGGAAAUAUGGGAUAAUAACUACAAAAGCAAUCUUCACUCGCUAAAUGUAUUGCAAAAAAGGCCAGUAAGGAUAAUUCAUAAUGGCGCCGACAGAGAACAUACUAACUCCUUAUUUCUAAAAUCACAAAUACUUCAACUUGCUGAGUUAAUCUUCAAACAGCUAAAAUAAUGCAUAAGGCUAAAAAUAACCAAUUAGCUAAAAAUGUCAUCCAAUACUUCUCUACAAGAGAGGAGAAAUAUGAUCUCAGGGAAGAAGUACAUUUGAAACACUUAUAUGCUAGGACUACGUUAAAAAGCCAUAGCAUUUCAGUAUGUGGAAUCAAACUAUGGAAUGGAUUGAGUAAGGAACUCAAACAAUGCACAACGAUGAGUCAAUUCAAGAAACAAUACAAGCAAUUGAUGUUUGCUAAAUACAAGGAUGAAGAGUCUUGAACCAGUCAUGAUGUGCUAUAUAUAUCACUAUAUUGACACUUACUAUGGUACACAUUAUGUCAUUGUAUAGUCAUAUCAGCUAGUACUUCGGUACGAGGUACAUUAUUAAAAAAAAAAAAAAAACACCUUAAACUGUAUUAUGGAAAGCAGGAAGUGAACAAAUGUAACAGUUACUGAUUGUAAAAGUACCAGUCACUAUAUCACUAUAUUGACACUUACUAUGGUACCCAUUAUGUCAUAUCACCUUGUACUUUCGUAUGUGACAAAAAUUAAAUAAAAGUAAAAUAAAGUAAAACAAAAAAAAACUGAAAAAACUAUAUUAGGAAAGCAGGAAGUGAACAAAUGUAACAGUUACUGAUUGUAAAAGUACCAGAUGGAGGGGUAGGAUUUAAUACGCUUUGCUUCUUCCUACUCCUUUUGGACAUGUGAACUGUGAACUGAUUAUGGGAUGCAUUCAAUUGUAAUCUGAUGCAUGUUCAAAUGAAAUAAAACCAUUACCAUUAAAUUUAAUACCCUGAUACAGUUUCUACAUACUAGAAUGCUUAUAUUUAAUGCAGGCCAAUGAUACGGUUUGAAAAUGAACCUGUUGGAUAUAAUCUCUGCCUAUCAUGCGGCUGACCCGCUGUGGUGACCCUUUAUGAAAAGCUGAAAAAUUAAUGGAAAAUAAGAACAUAAUGGCGAUAAUUCAUUAAAUCCAUUAAAAAAUGUAACCCGACUUGGUGCCUUUAAUGUGCAAUCUUCCUGUCUAUUGCAAUAAAGAGAUGCUGUAAAAAUGCACAUACUUGAUCACCAUGUUUAUGCGUUGUGUGCAUUUGCCCUUUCUCCUGGCUGCUAUGUGUUCUGGUAUGUAGCUAAAGGUCGAGGCCAGGCGGAGAGUGGCCAUCCAGGGGCCCGAUCAGGGGGGGGCUGGAGCCGGGUAGAACUGCAACAGCCAAGGUCAGCACUUCUGACAAGAAUGAGGACCGAGACGGAGAAUCAGGACAAAAAGUGUGUACACAAUCCGAAUGGGAGCUUUGGUAUAUUUCUUUUCAGAAAUGUGCCAAAUGUACACACCUUGCAAUGCUGAGCUGGGUGUCGUUCCAAAAACUUCUCACUUGCUGGUACCCCGCGGCAUGACUUCACAAGACACUUGUGCAGGCUGUUCCUGAGAAUGUUGCAAGUCAGAACAGCUACACAUGCACACGCACAUGCACACGCACGCACCCUGAGGUAUGCAACAGUCUACCUACUGGUUUGAUUCAGUAUUGCAUAAGAAACACAUCCACCGUUGUCUUGAGUAAAACCUCCCAAAGCACAAACAAAGGUGUCAACAUUACGUUAAUAAAUGGCAUGUUAACGUAACAUAUUAACAGUUAUUCACAUAAUUACUGUGCUGGAGCCUAUCCCAGCUGUCUUCUUUGGGCGAGAGGCGGGGUACACCCUGGACUGGUGACCAGCCAAUCACAGGGCACAUAUAGACAAACAACCAUUCACACUCACAUUCAUACCUAUGGACAAUUUGGAGUCGCUAGCAUGUCGCUUAACCUAGCAUGUUUUUGGAAUGUGGGAGAAAACCCACGCAUGCACGGGGAGAACAUGCAAACUCCACACAAAGAUGGCCGAAGGUGGGAUUGAACUCGGGUCUCCUAGCUAUGAGGUCUGCGUGCUAACCACUCCAUCACCGUGCAGCCCUGGCUUCCAAUCAAUGCUCAUAUUGUAAAUUUACGAGAAAAAAAAAAAAUCAAAAUUUACAAAAAAAAAAGUAGUAAUAUUUAUGAGACUGAAGUUUAGACUAAAUUAAACUUUACGUUCAAACGAUCCUCUGGCGCAUGCGCAGAAUGGCCACAAUGUGGCCAGGUUCACUGCUAUUCCCCAAGUACAUUUUACCAUCUGGUAUCAGGUUGUAAAAUCAAUACAUUAGUUAUGUAAAUAUUACUUGGUGUCAAUGAUCAGAUUUACAUAUACAUGUGAAGACACAAAGUUGCACACAAUCAUCAAGUAAGAAUUAGAUUUUAGAGUAAAAUAAGUGAAAUAAUAAAUUAAAAUGUAAACUAUUUAAUAUUUGAGGUAAUAAUAACAGGACAAAAAAAUAAUUUUUUCAGUGCAUACAGUAAGUCGCCCCUUUUCAUAGCUGCAGUCAAGUUAGAAAUAUAUUCACAGAUUUGAACUUCCGGGAUCAAAAUGUGAUCAGUCAGUAAUUUCACCUCACACAUUCAUUAUAUUUUCCACAAAUUAGUCUGGGAAAAGAGAACUAAAUUUUAAAUGAUUUUAUGAUAAUACCAAUAAAAAUGUCCCAAAAUGAUGCAUGUAUGUUUUUUUUUGUACAUGAAUAUCGUUCUGUUUUUGUACUUGAAGUAUAUUUUUUUGUAGUUGAAAGAUUAAAUUUGGUACUUGAAGGCAAUGUUUUAUAAUUGAAUAAAUCUGUUCCUUUGUACGUGUAAAAUGUGCUGUAUUUGUUUCUGAAACAGGAAGUAUUUGAACGGUACGUUUCUUACUUGCCAAACAAAAUGCAUUAGUUUGUGAUUAAUGUUUAGUAUUUAUAAACCAAACUGCAAUUAUUAUAUCUGCAAUCUGCUAUAUGCUUGUGUCCUUUUUUUCAGGAGCACUUUGUAAACAACAGACCACAUCAAAUAACCAAAUUUAUAUUUUAAAAAAAAGCUACCUAAACCAUCAAAAGGUUGGCUCAAGCCAUGAUGCUAGGUUGUAUGUUAAGUUUCAAUGAAAUACUUUGGAAAGAACGGGCGGGGCCGUAUUUAAACACUUGACAGGCCGGAUGUGGCCCCCGGGCCAUAGUUUGCUCACCACUGAUGUAAUGUAAACAAAGGAUAAUAAGAGUGUAAAGGUGACUAUAGGGGUGUUAUUACAUGUCCAGAGGGCUCUAAUAAUAGUACAAGAUGCAUUAGGAGAGUCAUAAACAGGUUUUAUAAUUAUUAAUAUUGAAUGAUUACAUUGCAAAAAUUCACUUAUCACGGUUGGGUCAUACAAAGGACCCAACAAAGGUCAUACAAAGGGCCAUAGUUUGCCCACCCCUGAUGUAGUGUAAACAAAGGAUAAUAGGAGUGUAAAGGUGACUAUAGGGGUGUUAUUACAUGUCCAGAGGGCUCUAAUAAUGGUACAAGAUGGAUUAAGACAGUCAUAAACAGGUUUUAUAGUUAUUAAUAUUGAAUGAAUACAUUGCUGGAGCCUAUCCCAGCGGUCACCGGUCAAUCACAGGACAAAGAAUAGAUAACAAUAUUUAUAAUAUAUAAAAUAUAUUCUCAUAUUCUUCCUUUAAACCUGAAGACAGCAUUCUUUCCUUACAUCCUCGUAUUGUUGACUUCCAGUGAAUUGUGCAUUUGGGCGCUUGCCAUUUCUUACGUAACCUCUUCACAUCUGUGACUCCACUAAAAAUCCACAGCGUGGAAAUAUGUGCUAGUGGAACACUUUGAAGGUUACCUUGAGCCUGCAUGGGUUGGCGGUUAUGUGGGCGCACACGUCAGGGCGCACAUGUCACCCCUGACACAAAGAAACGGUUCGACAUGACUAAAGAUUUCAACUGUAAAGUCAGAACUUUUGUGUGUGGGUAAUUCCACAACUAGCAUAGCGAAAAUGAAGGAAACAACCCCACCCAUUCUCGGUCUCUUUCUCUAUCUCAUUCCCCAGCACAAAAGGUUUACACAUUC